UCGCUAGCUGGUCUGAGAGGAAGAUCACCCACACUGGUACUGAGACACGGCCCAGACUCCUACGGGAGGCAGCAGUGGGGAAUAUUGGACAAUGGGCGCAAGCCUGAUCCAGCCAUGCCGCGUGCGGGAAGAAGGCCUUCGGGUUGUAAACCGCUUUUGUCAGGGAAGAAACGGUCCGAGUUAAUACCCCGGACUAAUGACGGUACCUGAAGAAUAAGCACCGGCUAACUACGUGCCAGCAGCCGCGGUAAUACGUAGGGUGCAAGCGUUAAUCGGAAUUACUGGGCGUAAAGCGUGCGCAGGCGGCUUUGCAAGACAGAUGUGAAAUCCCCGGGCUUAACCUGGGAACUGCAUUUGUGACUGCAUGGCUAGAGUGCGGCAGAGGGGGAUGGAAUUCCGCGUGUAGCAGUGAAAUGCGUAGAUAUGCGGAGGAACACCGAUGGCGAAGGCAAUCCCCUGGGCCUGCACUGACGCUCAUGCACGAAAGCGUGGGGAGCAAACAGGAUUAGAUACCCUGGUAGUCCACGCCCUAAACGAUGUCAACUGGUUGUUGGACGGCUUGCUGUUC
Molecule: ribosomal RNA, 568 nt
Filed under: uncultured bacterium
Lineage: Bacteria
Description: bacterial SSU rRNA
Rfam family: Bacterial small subunit ribosomal RNA
Source: RNAcentral